GACGAACGCUGGCGGCGUGCUUAACACAUGCAAGUCAAACGGUGAAGCGCCUUCCUUUUUGGUGGGUGUGGAUGAGUGGCGAACGGGUGAGUAACACGUGAGUAACCUGCCCCCUUCUUCUGGAUAACCGCAUGAAAGUGUGGCUAAUACGGGAUAUUCUGGGUCUGUCGCAUGAUGGGUCUGGGAAAGAUAUUGUUUCGGUGGGGGAUGGGCUCGCGGCCUAUCAGCUUGUUGGUGGGGUGAUGGCCUACCAAGGCGGUGACGGGUAGCCGGCCUGAGAGGGUGGACGGUCACACUGGGACUGAGACACGGCCCAGACUCCUACGGGAGGCAGCAGUGGGGAAUAUUGCACAAUGGGCGCAAGCCUGAUGCAGCGACGCCGCGUGAGGGAUGGAGGCCUUCGGGUUGUGAACCUCUUUCGCCAGUGAAGCAGGCCUGCCUCGUUUGUGGGUGGGUUGACGGUAGCUGGAGAAGAAGCGCCGGCUAACUACGUG
This 494-nucleotide ribosomal RNA is filed under the name uncultured bacterium. RNAcentral's name for it is "partial 16S ribosomal RNA". It matches the Rfam family "Bacterial small subunit ribosomal RNA", at positions 28 to 507 of the family's 1533-position model. The record is from RNAcentral.